Molecule: ribosomal RNA, 274 nt
Filed under: uncultured bacterium
Lineage: Bacteria
Description: partial 16S ribosomal RNA
Rfam family: Bacterial small subunit ribosomal RNA
Source: RNAcentral
AUACGGAGGGGGCUAGCGUUGUUCGGAAUUACUGGGCGUAAAGCGUACGUAGGCGGACUGAUCAGUUGGGGGUGAAAUCCCAGGGCUUAACCCUGGAACUGCCUUCAAUACUGUCAGUCUUGAGAUUGGAAGAGGUGAGUGGAAUUCCUAGUGUAGAGGUGAAAUUCAUAGAUAUUAGGAGGAACACCAGUGGCGAGGGCGGCUCACUGGUCCAAUACUGACGCUGAGGUACGAAAGCGUGGGGAGCAAACAGGAUUAGAAACCCUUGUAGUCC